ACAGGCACACAGGAGUUGAUUAGAUAGGUUCUGACCUUAGAUCUGGUCGGGGGCGGAUACCACUUCGCAGCCGGAUGUUGAUGUUGCCUGAUGUACGAGGAAGCGAAACAGCUGUGUGCACACUCGGGUGGCGGUGACAACGCAUGGGAACCGAUUCGGCGAGGAUGAGGUCGUUGUGGAGAUCCCUGGCUGCGUGGCACUUCGUCAUGUCGUGGACUUGGUUGGAUUGAUUUGUUGUUCUAUGCACAGCCGAUUCUAACUUUAUCAGGUUUUCGGAGUGUCACUCAUUCCUCAGGAUAGAUGUUUCCAUGUAGAUUUAACCCUCUGCGUUGACGUUCGUUAUACACAUUGGGAAACUGUAACCGUGUUGAUGCCUACAACUUGUGUGAUCGAUGCUCGCAGGAAUUGAAAUGCUGGUAUAUAUUUUGACCGGCACAAUCUUAGAUGUAUCUGAGUUGCAUAUGUAUUGAUCGAAGAUAAGUAAUUUCUGAAUUGGUGACAGUUUCCACGCACACAUCAUUGCAGUAUGAAAGAGCAUGCAAGUGUGAAAUGAAAUCAAUCGUAAUUCACAGUUUGUGAUAAUCAGGAGAUUCCUUCUAGAUUGCAGGAUACACAUGUCCGUGUAGGAAGUGUGGACCUAAGAUGUGAAUGUUCUGUUGUUGUUGAGCAGGGCAGCUGGUUGUGUUAAGUUCUUCUGUGGAAUUCACUUCAAUGAAGUGGAACCGAGAUGUUUCGAAUAGGGUCCCUGAUAUGUUUUUCUGCAGAGUAGUACAACUAAGUUAUUCACACGUCCAGACGACAAAGCGAAGGCUUCAACGCGAAAGGUUCCCUGUGGUACGUAAUAUUGAUCCAACCAGGGAGACGAACUCGUGUGAGAAUUGGAUGGAAGAGAAUUGAUGCGAACUUGGUUGCAACUGAUAACCGGCAGCAAAGGCUUGAUCAAUAUUAAGCGCAAGGCAUAACAGAGCGUGCCAACCCACAAAAAAGGUUACACAAUUGCGUGCCCGGGUUGAACAAACAAAUUGGAAUCAGUGUACAGAACUGUGAAUACAGCGAUCAAGUGGAGAGCGGCUAUGAAGUAGUAGUUAAGUAAGUGUAAUUGUUGCCCAUUUUAUACGGUGUUGAUCGAUCCAAGUAGCAUUGUAGUCAAAUUAUGGCCUAUGUAAUAAACGUUCCACUCUAGUAUUGUCUUUUCACCUUCUAAAACUACUUGACAUUAUCAAAUGAGCAAUUUGAAUUUAUUCGCUAUAGCUAGAAUGCCUAAGGUAAAUAUGGACUUUGAUUUAUGAACAAAGUUUCUAAUUGGUUCACUAUUUUGUUUUGAUUGUAUUUUUUUUUACAAAACAAAAAAAAAAAAAAAAAAAAAAAAAAAACUUUAUAAAAUUCAUUCUCCUAUGUCAUAUGGCAUUUGUAGGAUAAUACUUCUUGUAUUAGUCCAUUUUAAUCUUUGUGGCCAUAGAACUACUCCUUCUUUUUGUGGUGCUUGAUAUUAUUUAUUCUUUUAUGAAUGACUUAUUACAAUUUACUAUUAUUUGAUUGUUUUUAAAAGAUGUUAGAAAGGUUUUUCUAUUUUCCAACAUCUUUGUACCAAGUGACAUCCAAAUUUGGAUAUUAUUUGUUGAUGUGUUAUAUAAUUAAUGGUGCAAAAAUGACCAAUAUAUAAUUUUUAAUGCAUAUUUUGACUAAAAUGGCAAAAUAUGAUAUUACACAAUACCAUUUAUUUCUUCUAAAAACAAACCAAGUUUUUUUACAUAUAUAUAUAUAUAUUAUUUAUUACCAAAUUUGGCAAGAUAAUGCUCUAUGUUAUCAACCUAAAUAAUCAUUUUUGAGUGGAAGUUGUUUGUAUUGCUUGUUGCAUCCAAAAGAUCUCUUAUCAUUCAUCACUUCCAAACAUCAAAGCUUUUAGAAGAUGGAGAGGGAUAAAAUCCAAUCUACAAUAUCUACGAGUUUUGGAUGUUCUACCUUUGUAGAAUUCUUAUACAACUACAUCUUUACCACACUUCCAUGGAUAGUGUGAUGCAAACUAUAUAAAAUGUCUUUAAUCUAAAAAGUCAACUUUUAAGCACUAAUAUUAUAUUUAUUAUUCUCUUUUGAGUUGGCACUCUUAGAACAAGUUAUAGUUGUUUAAUAUUGUACCAAAGCCAAAUAUAAAACCAUAGCUACAACUUUAAGCUACUCAAUGUGAUUUCAAGUAUCAUUAAAACAGCUUGUAUACAAUAUAUUAUUGCCAAACACAAUUUAUUGUAACACCCAAUCUUGCAUUGCAAUGACUAAGAAUCCUAGCUUUCAUGCUUGAACAACAUAUGUUGAUGUACAAUACCACAAUAUUUAUGCAAAAGCACAAUGAAAAAUAAAGUUAUUACAUGACAUGUUUCUUGAAAAUAAACUAAAGGCCAAUAUUAUUUACUUUAGCCAAAGCAUUUUACAUCUUAGUGUGAUUGAUUUGACUUCAACAAAUUUUAGAUGAACUUAGUUUAUGCUGAUUAGCAUAUAAGGAGAGGUGGUAGAACACAUAUUCACCGAAAACAACAGUAAUAAAUAAUAAAUAAAUGUUACUACCCACAAAGUAGUUUGGUAGGUAGUUGCAACCAUCCCCGCCCCAUCCAUGAAGACAUGAAAAGUCACCCCUAAUCUUCACCUCCUGGAUUAACAUCGAAUAAUAUAUGAGCACGUUGACAAUUCCAGCCCCGGCAUAUUAUUAGACCUGCCCCCCGGCAAUCCAAAUGGCGGCACGGCAGCCCCUUUCCCUGCAGCUACCACCACCAACCUGGGAUGCUCAUCCCGGCCCAGCAGCAGCAUCCUCCCCCGCCGCACAACACGACACACCGUGUGUGUCGCUGUCCCUCACCUCAACUCAAUGCUAUAACAUCCCCCCGCCGCCGCGCUCCCUCUCCACCUUCAUCACCCGCUCUCGUUGUCGUUGCUUGAGCACCCGGCUGCGCCACCCCGAGCUCCCCAUCUUCGCCCUUCCCCCAAUCGGACAGGGUGUCGGGGUUCCAUCUGCACUGCGCCGCAGUCCCAGCGCCAGCGCCAUGAAGCUCCUCGCGGUCGCAGCCGUGUCCUUGAUCCUGCUCGUGACCUCUCAGAUGGUGGUCACAUCCCACGCAGCCGGCUGCGACAUCCUCAAACUAACGCCGUGCGUUGCAGCCAGCAGGAAUGCCAAGGUGAUGCCGUCCAGGCAAUGCUGCUCCAACAUCGCCGGCAUGGGCAAGGGGCUUCCGGGAGCCAAGUGUCUGUGUUCUCUCCUGAGCCACCCUCUGGCCAGGUCGCAAGGGGUGGCUCCCCGGAUCGCUCUUGGCAUCCCCCAGAAAUGCCGCAUCGCCGUCCCGAGGGGCUUCGUGUGCCAAGGUACGCUUUCACGCCUCCUCCCGCGCUGAUGCAGUGUCUGUGCCUUCCAGCCGCCCGGGCGCCCCAGAGGGUGGGCUGUAGCAGCGAUCUCCCCCGCGUCAUGUGGUGUUGUGUUUGCUCCUGCUGCGUUGCGCUGCGUUGCGUUGCCUUGGGCGUGUGGGCUGUGAACAUGCUGGCGACAGUGGGUCGGGGAGUGCACCGCCUCGUUGGAUGCGGAGCCGAUCGCGAUGAUGGGCGGCCACUCACGCCUUUGAGUUGCGUGCUGUGCAGGAAUUCGCGUCCCCGGAAGCUGAGCUCUCAGGGUCCAAGCCGGAGCACCGCCGUGGCCACGUGGGGUGGGAGUGGACGGAAAGCUUCUGAGCGUGCAGCCGAGUAGAGUGGCAUUGUGUACUCCGCUGUGAAAGCGGGACAAUUAUUUAUAAAUGUGACAACGUCUUUCCGUGACAUCCGGCACGCAGUGCUGGUGUGACAGCCUUUGUAAUCGUAAUGUGGUGUGCGAUGCGUCCAACGCUGGUCCAGUCGUGUGGUGUGUUGUUGUACCCGUCAGGAUACGGUGCAUGGGAGUGUGUGUGAGACACAGAGCAAACGGCAUCACGCUGCAGGGGUUGUGGAAUUGUGGCAGCAUGGAACUGAACUGCGCAGCACCGGAUUUAGUCCGUCCGGGUGGAAACAAGACAGGCACACAGGAGUUGAUUAGAUAGGUUCUGACCUUAGAUCUGGUCGGGGGCGGAUACCACUUCGCAGCCGGAUGUUGAUGUUGCCUGAUGUACGAGGAAGCGAAACAGCUGUGUGCACACUCGGGUGGCGGUGACAACGCAUGGGAACCGAUUCGGCGAGGAUGAGGUCGUUGUGGAGAUCCCUGGCUGCGUGGCACUUCGUCAUGUCGUGGACUUGGUUGGAUUGAUUUGUUGUUCUAUGCACAGCCGAUUCUAACUUUAUCAGGUUUUCGGAGUGUCACUCAUUCCUCAGGAUAGAUGUUUCCAUGUAGAUUUAACCCUCUGCGUUGACGUUCGUUAUACACAUUGGGAAACUGUAACCGUGUUGAUGCCUACAACUUGUGUGAUCGAUGCUCG
This 4421-nucleotide long non-coding RNA is filed under the name Physcomitrium patens. RNAcentral describes it as "long non-coding RNA (PPAT_LNC014971)". Lineage: Eukaryota; Viridiplantae; Streptophyta; Bryopsida; Funariales; Funariaceae. The record is from RNAcentral.